AUGAUAGCUCAGGACUGCGAUCUAGUUGAAUUGUCUGUUUUUAUCCAAAACCCCUCCACUGAAGAGAUUUGGAUCAACAAGACCGCUACUGUGGUGUGCAUGGUAAUGGGCGCUGAUCUGAGCCAGGUCCAAAUCUACUGGCAAGUGAGCGGAAGGGAGAGAACAACAGGGGCUGUGACCCGCCAACCGAGAGGGGAAAGUACCCAAGACAGAGUGAGCAGUAAACUCCGGAGCAGUGUGGAGGAGUGGACCAGCGGGGUGGAGGUUGUGUGCUCUGCCCAACGAUCUCCAUCAUCCUCACCAGUGUCAGCACGGACAGAAAGUGCCAAAGUUGAAACAAAAAGACCUAAGGUCAGACUGCUGCCUCCAGCUCACCAAGAGACCAAGCGUAGCAACACAGCCACCCUCGAGUGUGUGCUCUCUGGUUUCUACCCGGACCUCAUAAACGUCACUUGGGCGAAAGACGGAGCCCCGAUCUCCUCCACCACCAGCACUACACCGACUGCUCUGGAGCAGGGGGGGACUUUCAGUGCCAGCCACUUCCUGACUGUGAGUCCAGAGGAUUGGAAGAAAGGCUCAGUCUUCGGCUGUACAGUGUCUCAUCCCCCCUCGAACACCAGUAUCAGCCGGGAAGUGAAAAGCUUUCAAGCCGGCACAGAAUUGACAGGUGAGGAAGGGAAGGAGGAGCCGGGGGACUUGGAUGGAGAUGACAAUGUGCUCACAGUUGCUGCCUUCGCCAUCCUGUUCAUUAUCAGUUUCCUCUACAGUACCUUCGUCACUGUUGUCAAGGUAACGAUGACCAACGACAGAGAUACUUUGUGACCCCCACACUGUGACCAUCCAUUCCUCACUACACUGUGUUCUCUGACUCUUCAAUCCUCACCACACUACGACCCACAGAUGAUGCAGU
Molecule: non-coding RNA, 910 nt
Organism: Amblyraja radiata (thorny skate)
Lineage: Eukaryota; Metazoa; Chordata; Chondrichthyes; Rajiformes; Rajidae
Source: the annotation of a RefSeq genome assembly